GGACAGGUGGCUGAGUGGUUUAAGGCACUCGACUCGAAAUCGAGCGUGCCCUCUAAAGGCACCGUGGGUUCGACUCCCACCCUGUCCG
This 88-nucleotide transfer RNA is filed under the name Methylacidiphilales bacterium. RNAcentral describes it as "Candidatus Methylacidiphilales bacterium tRNA-Ser". It matches the Rfam family "tRNA". Rfam says of the family: Transfer RNA (tRNA) molecules are approximately 80 nucleotides in length. Their secondary structure includes four short double-helical elements and three loops (D, anti-codon, and T loops). Further hydrogen bonds mediate the characteristic L-shaped molecular structure. tRNAs have two regions of fundamental functional importance: the anti-codon, which is responsible for specific mRNA codon recognition, and the 3' end, to which the tRNAs corresponding amino acid is attached (by aminoacyl-tRNA synthetases). tRNAs cope with the degeneracy of the genetic code in two manners: having more than one tRNA (with a specific anti-codon) for a particular amino acid; and 'wobble' base-pairing, i.e. permitting non-standard base-pairing at the 3rd anti-codon position. Lineage: Bacteria; Pseudomonadati; Verrucomicrobiota; Methylacidiphilae; Methylacidiphilales. The record is from RNAcentral.